AGCCACGUGGCCGAGCGGUUAGGUUAAAGUCUGCAAAACUUUUUACGAUGGUUCGAAUCCAUCCGUGGCGU
RNAcentral lists this transfer RNA (71 nucleotides) under Ferruginibacter sp. Its description in RNAcentral is "tRNA-Cys". It matches the Rfam family "tRNA". Rfam says of the family: Transfer RNA (tRNA) molecules are approximately 80 nucleotides in length. Their secondary structure includes four short double-helical elements and three loops (D, anti-codon, and T loops). Further hydrogen bonds mediate the characteristic L-shaped molecular structure. tRNAs have two regions of fundamental functional importance: the anti-codon, which is responsible for specific mRNA codon recognition, and the 3' end, to which the tRNAs corresponding amino acid is attached (by aminoacyl-tRNA synthetases). tRNAs cope with the degeneracy of the genetic code in two manners: having more than one tRNA (with a specific anti-codon) for a particular amino acid; and 'wobble' base-pairing, i.e. permitting non-standard base-pairing at the 3rd anti-codon position. The record is from RNAcentral. Lineage: Bacteria; Pseudomonadati; Bacteroidota; Chitinophagia; Chitinophagales; Chitinophagaceae.